Molecule: transfer RNA, 67 nt
Filed under: Marmota monax (woodchuck)
Lineage: Eukaryota; Metazoa; Chordata; Mammalia; Rodentia; Sciuridae
Description: tRNA.Ala
Source: RNAcentral
GGACUGUGGCUCAACGGUAGAGUGCUCUCCUAGCAUGGGCGGGACCCAGGUUCAAUUCUCAGCACCA